UAGGCUCACCAAGGCGACGAUGCGUAGCCGACCUGAGAGGGUGAUCGGCCACAUUGGGACUGAGACACGGCCCAGACUCCUACGGGAGGCAGCAUG
RNAcentral lists this ribosomal RNA (96 nucleotides) under uncultured bacterium. Its description in RNAcentral is "partial 16S ribosomal RNA". It matches the Rfam family "Bacterial small subunit ribosomal RNA", at positions 260 to 353 of the family's 1533-position model. The record is from RNAcentral.